AUUUCUGUGCAGUGCCCACGUCCCGCGCUUUUACGCACGGUCUCUUUGCAUUAAUGCAGAAACGUUGUUAUGGUGUUAUGAUACUAGCUUACUCGGUUUUUUAUAAUCAAUUAAAAAUAAGAAAUUAAACUUGUUUACAUUUUGUUUCAUGGCUAGAAUUUGUGAUAUAAAGCGAAUUAGAAUUCCACUCCAAUUCGAAACAAUGUGUAAAGACGUAUUCCAUCUCUAUGCGACCGAGAGGGUCACAAUGCCGACGCUUCACAUGGAACUCCAGAACCCAAGAUAUAUGUCCAGAACACUCAAAAAAUCUUCAGUUCUUGAUCGACAAACACCGAGAGAGACAGCAUUAUUAUGGCAAGCUUUUCAUUCAUCUUCCCCGAAGACAGACGUUGUUCCAUUAAGGACAACGAAGUCAAUUCAGGGUGGAUGUCAACACGGUAACCAAACUCAACACCCUUGGCGGUCCAGAGUCAGAGAGUCAGAACAUCCAUCAGUGCGUUGCAGAUGUACUUGGUAACAAGUACCACUACGCGAAUGCCAUUGACAGCUCUCUGCUCUGGACCGUUGGGUACACCCCCUACAUUCCCCCAGCUCUGAAAGGAAGAAGCUUCCCCUCUGUCGAGAGCUUCUUCCUGGAUGAGUGGGAGCCACUGACACUCCUGCAGACUCCUCAGGUUCUGUCCACCAGUGUUUCCAUCAAGGAAGACAACCUGAUCCAGUCUGCUGCAGGCCUAGUGUCUCUGGUUCUGUCAUCCAGUGUUGCCAUCAUGGAGAAUGACCUGAUCCAGUCUGCUGCAGGCCUAGUGUCUCAGAUUCUGUCCACCAGUGUUGCCAUCGUGGAGAAUGACCUGAUCCAGUCUGCUGCAGGCCUAGUGUCUCAGAUUCUGUCCACCAGUGUUGCCAUCGUGGAUAAUGACCUGAUCCAGUCUGCUGCAGGCCUAGUGUCUCUGGUUCUGUCCAGCAGUGACGCUAGAGUGAAGGAUCGUAUUGAUUCCACACUGAGAGACUCCAACCAACCUGAGGUCCAUGUGGCUGAUGUCUCAACCGAGAGAAGUAGACUAGUCAUCACUAUUUCUAUGUUUUCAAUAGAGAGUUGCAAUGCUUUGGUCCAUGAAGUUGAUGCUAUUGCUACCAGCCUGGAGCACCCGGCUGAGAAAAUGUCUACCUCUACCGCUGAUGGCCACUUCGUUUCAUCCACUGCUGUUGCCAAUCAGAAGAAAACAAGGGGUGAAUUCGUCUCAUCUUUACGGAGACUGUUCACGAGAAAGAACAGGAAGCCUGCUAAAGUGUCUUCCAAGAAGGAGCACAUUCACUUGGUUGACCGCCUCAAUGCUGAAGUCACCCACUGAGGGCACUCACUCACUGCUGAAAGCAUCCAGAAUGAUGCUUCUGUUUCUCCUCAACGCCACCUACACCCCUGCCCCUCUCCCCCACACCAAACCCUACCAGGGUAGGGUUGAAUUCCAGAUCAAUUCAGUCAAUUCAAGAAGUAAACUGAAAUUCCAAUUCCAAUUGUUUCUCAUAGGAGGCAUUGAGGUAAAUUUGAAUUGCUAUUGGAAUUUCAGUUUACUUUCUGAAUUGACUGAAUUGAAAAUGAAUUGACCCCAACCCUGAUCCCUAAGCCUCCACCCCAUCCAUUUCUAUCUUCAGUAAAUUUUGUAGAAUUUUAUUUGAAUGUGUUUUGUAUCUUCAUUAAAACCACAAUGCAUCUCUAAUGAGAGUCACUCAUGUUACACAUCUAGAUUCAUCAUCAAAUAUUAACGCAACAUGUAAAGUGUUGGUACCAUGUUUCAUGAGCUGAUAUAAAAUCCCAUUAUUAUUCCAUAUGUACAAA
This is a long non-coding RNA of Oncorhynchus tshawytscha (Chinook salmon), 1834 nucleotides long. Lineage: Eukaryota; Metazoa; Chordata; Actinopteri; Salmoniformes; Salmonidae. The record is from Ensembl.